This 484-nucleotide ribosomal RNA is filed under the name uncultured bacterium. RNAcentral's name for it is "partial 16S ribosomal RNA". It matches the Rfam family "Bacterial small subunit ribosomal RNA", at positions 29 to 507 of the family's 1533-position model. The record is from RNAcentral.
AUUGAACGCUGGCGGCAGGCCUAACACAUGCAAGUCGAGCGGAUGAAGGGAGCUUGCUCCUGGAUUCAGCGGCGGACGGGUGAGUAAUGCCUAGGAAUCUGCCUGGUAGUGGGGGAUAACGUCCGGAAACGGGCGCUAAUACCGCAUACGUCCUGAGGGAGAAAGUGGGGGAUCUUCGGACCUCACGCUAUCAGAUGAGCCUAGGUCGGAUUAGCUAGUUGGUGGGGUAAGGGCCUACCAAGGCGACGAUCCGUAGCUGGUCUGAGAGGAUGAUCAGUCACACUGGAAGGUGGACACGGACCAUACGCCUGCGGGAGGCAGCAGUGGCGAACAGGGGACAGUAGGCGAAAGCCUUGUCCAGCGGGCGCGCGCGUGAUGAAGAAAUCUCGGGAGCAUGAAGACGGCCUUGGGGGUAUAAAGCGCAGUAGCUUGUGACGAAGCGGUAGUGACGGUACCGGCAGAAGAAGCACCGGCUAACUACGUG